UACGGAGGGAGCUAGCGUUGUUCGGAAUUACUGGGCGUAAAGCGCGCGUAGGCGGUUACUCAAGUCAGAGGUGAAAGCCCGGGGCUCAACCCCGGAACUGCCUUUGAAACUAGGUUGCUAGAAUCUUGGAGAGGUCAGUGGAAUUCCGAGUGUAGAGGUGAAAUUCGUAGAUAUUCGGAAGAACACCAGUGGCGAAGGCGACUGACUGGACAAGUAUUGACGCUGAGGUGCGAAAGCGUGGGGAGCAAACAGGG
This 254-nucleotide ribosomal RNA is filed under the name uncultured bacterium. RNAcentral describes it as "partial 16S ribosomal RNA". It matches the Rfam family "Bacterial small subunit ribosomal RNA", at positions 524 to 777 of the family's 1533-position model. The record is from RNAcentral.